CAAAAAUUGACGGGUACACGCCUGAUGGAGCGGCGCCGCGUGAGUGAAGAAGGUUUUCGGAUCGUAAAACUCUGUUGUAAGGGAAGAACAAGUACAGUAGUAACUGGCUGUACCUUGACGGUACCUUAUUAGAAAGCCACGGCUAACUACGUGCCAGCAGCCGCGGUAAUACGUAGGUGGCAAGCGUUGUCCGGAAUUAUUGGGCGUAAAGCGCGCGCAGGCGGUCCUUUAAGUCUGAUGUGAAAGCCCACGGCUCAACCGUGGAGGGUCAUUGGAAACUGGGGGACUUGAGUGCAGAAGAGGAAAGUGGAAUUCCAAGUGUAGCGGUGAAAUGCGUAGAGAUUUGGAGGAACACCAGUGGCGAAGGCGACUUUCUGGUCUGUAACUGACGCUGAGGCGCGAAAGCGUGGGGAGCAAACAGGAUUAGAUACCCUGGUAGUCCACGCCGUAAACGAUGAGUGCUAAGUGUUAGGGGGUUUCCGCCCCUUAGUGCUGCAGCUAACGCAUUAAGCACUCCGCCUGGGGAGUACGGUCGCAAGACUGAAACUCAAAGGAAUUGACGG
Molecule: ribosomal RNA, 563 nt
Filed under: Lysinibacillus fusiformis
Lineage: Bacteria; Bacillati; Bacillota; Bacilli; Caryophanales; Bacillaceae
Description: bacterial SSU rRNA
Rfam family: Bacterial small subunit ribosomal RNA
Source: RNAcentral